CUUGCUGAUACCUGAUAAAGGUUUGUAGGUUGAGUGAACGAAUAAAUGAUGAAGUAGAACUUGGAAUUGUUUAGAGGCAGAAUACAGGUUGUGAUGCAUUUGUUUCGUUUGCUGCAGAUUUGAUGCUGCCCGGACUCGUGGUGCCCCCUGCUGGUCUGCCUCAGGUACAGAAGGGUGACCUCUGUGCCAUUGCCUUGCUGGGGAACAGAGUGGCUGCACCAGUUCGCAUUCUCACCAACAUUGCCAGAGGAUUUCCCUCUCUCCACAUCUUCACCAAUACCUGUUGUUUUCUGUGUUGUUUAUGUUAGCCAUUCCGACAGGUGUGCGGUGAUACGUCAUUGUAGUUUUGAGUUGUACUUCCCUGAUGUUGAGAGAUGUCGAGCAUCUUUUUAUGUGUCUGUUAGCCAUCUGGAUGUGUUCUCCGGAAAAAGGUGUAUUCAUGUCUUCUGCCCGUUUCUUAACUGGAUUAUUUGUUGAUUUUGGGUGUUAAGUUUAUAUCUUGUUGUUGGGUGUUGACUUCCUAUAUGUUUUAAAUAUUAAUCUUAUGAAAUUUUAAAAGAUUGGAAUUAUUGAGAGUACAUCUCAGACCAAACAAAGUUAAGCAAGAAAUCAGUUUAAAAGAUAAUUAGAAGAACCCCAAGUUACCAGAAGUCGACACUUUAGAAGACAAUCUUUUAAAAAAUUAAAGCAGGACUUCUAGCUUCUGUGGUGUGAUGAGCUUGGUGAACUCACUGAGCUUACUGAGGACAUUAAGAAAUAGACUCACACAUUUCCAGUUGCCUGAUUUAAGACAAAAGUCAGAGUGAAGCAGUGUAGUAGGAAAGCGGUGAUAUUUUCAGUAAAUAUUGCCCGAACAGUUGGAUAGCUAUAUUUUAAAAGUACGUCUGUCGCUCUUAGUACCAGAUACCAUACACAAAAGUCAAAUGAGUUGUAAAUGUGAAAGAGAAAACAAUGCUUUUAGGGGAAAACAUUAUUGCAUCCUAGGACUAGGCAAGGAUGUCUUAAAUACGACACGAAAGGUACUAAUCCAAAUGGGAAACAAUUUUAAAUUUAAUUCAAUUUUAAAAUUAAGAAAACCUC
Molecule: long non-coding RNA, 1080 nt
Organism: Herpailurus yagouaroundi (jaguarundi)
Lineage: Eukaryota; Metazoa; Chordata; Mammalia; Carnivora; Felidae
Exons: 2
Source: RefSeq, a predicted model, not a curated record